Long non-coding RNA from Solea senegalensis (Senegalese sole), 2006 nucleotides. RefSeq lists it as uncharacterized. NCBI's taxonomy places the organism in Eukaryota, Metazoa, Chordata, Actinopteri, Pleuronectiformes, Soleidae. The transcript has 3 exons. The record is from RefSeq and is a predicted model, not a curated record.
UAAGACAUAAUAAAAAUACAUAGCCUUGAAAUAAAUAAUAGAACAUGAAUAAUUUAAAGAUAAGACAACCAAGUUACAUUGUGAAUUGUCAUCAUCCAUUCGUGGGUCCCCGCAGAAUGCGUGCCUCCCCAGAUCCCCUUGAUUGAGGUGGUGGGGGGUAUUCAGUCGUGCCUCCCUUUGUUGACAUGCAAGAGAAGAAGUAGAGUUAAAAACAGACAAUAAACAAUUAUUAUAAUCACACAAAACCAUAACAUUUCCAACGUAAGGGGCUGUUAGUGUUAAUGUAUGUGGAUAUGACCCUUGUCCCUCUUUGUAGUUCAGGAGUAUUCACGUUGUGAGCAAACAGAAAGCAGAAAGGAAUAGCGUCUUUUGAACGGCAAGUUCAGCUUCAAAGCUCUGCCAGAUGGUUCUCUUGACAACACUGCAGGUACUUGUAUUAUCGAAGAUGUGAAUUGAGUUGCCAUAUGUCAUGUCUGAAAUACCACAUGCUGGCCAAGCACACAGCUGAUGCAGAGAGCCCCUCCCCCCCGUCCAAGGCAGCUGGGCAAUCUACAAGCCACACACUUUCAAAAGCAACGGCUAAAUGGGCGGCUACAGCUCGGGGGCCCAUUAAACAUUGACGAGGAUGAGGGUCAUCUUCAAAUCAUUCACGUCUAAUGAUGGCCCAAAUUCCUUUCGACAGCCGCCAGUCUUACCAUGAUACACAACUUGUAUGAAGACAAGAAAGUUAAAUAAGAAGAGGUGUUGAGACCGAGCAGCAGUUCAUGAUGUCACCAAUAAGAAAUUGGAAUCCCAUUUUGAAGAAAAAAAAAAAACAAUUCCCAAAUUUCAGGUCCAAAAACAUAGAUUGAACUUUUUUAACACAAGUCUGUUCCCCAACAAAAUUCGAAGUUCCUCAACACGCAGCUCGAAGUAUCUUGAAUGCUCCAAAUUCCUAAACGUAGUCCAAAGUCCCUUCAAUGCCGUUCAAAGUUCCUCAGCACAGUUCCCUAGUUCCCACAGUUGCAAAGCCCUAAUUCCAUGGCAACAGCCUGUGCCGCUCCGAUGUGCCACCGCCAACUCCUGUUAGAGUUCCAGUUCCAUCACACAGCACGUCAUUUUGACUCACAGGUCACAAUGCAUAUAAAUAGGUGGUUCCUGACAUAGCUGUAAAAAUCAAGCUCACCUGAGGAAGAGCAACACCAGAUUGAAAUGCGGUGUUCUCAAUCAAAUUUUGUGGCAUGGAGUAAGUAAGGGUGUGGGGCUGUACCUCCUUUUUGCACAAAGUCAGCACACUGACCACUGACAGUGUGGGAUUGAAUCUGCCAGACAGCUCCCGUUCAACCUUACAUCACACAUAGCCUCCAUCAAGCACUCACUGUUUCUCUACUGAACAGCCCAUUUGACAGCACAGCGGCAACAUGCAGAAAGGUAGUGGGGCAUUUCAUGCAGGGCCCAGCAAAAUGCGGUAGAGCUCAAACAGCAGAAAAUUGCACAUCAUCUCAAGAAAGAGUCACUCACACAGGGCAUGUCAAUGAGAUGGAACAGGUCCCUGGAGAUGGUGGAGCGUAUUCUGGAAAAUCAAAAACCACUGAGAGAUGCACUGGCCCUACAUGCAACCAACGUCACUGUGGCAACGACAGCCCGGCUGGAUAAUAUGAAGAAGUUUGGAGACGGUGAGGACUGCAGGGCGACAGUACCCAGAGGUGGAUAGUAACGCGCUACUCCGUUUACUCCGUUCCCAAAUCCCAGAGUCUCAUGCUGAUGGCUCCUUGGGCAAGACACUUAACCCCACGUUGCUCCUGACAGUUGUGUCAGCAGGUGCUGUGGGUCGACGCAUGUGGUGUGGUGGUAUCUUUUCACAAGUCCGUGUUUGGUGUGUUGUGUCAGGAGUGGUGUUGUGUUGGAUUCUCCCUGUUUGAUUUUUCUGCCGCUGUGGUAAGCCCCAGUCCUGUUCUUAUAAUUGUUUACUAUUUGUGCCUUUGGAAACAUUUUUGUUGUGAUUAAUUUAUAUUUAAUUGAAUAAA